Molecule: ribosomal RNA, 253 nt
Filed under: uncultured bacterium
Lineage: Bacteria
Description: partial 16S ribosomal RNA
Rfam family: Bacterial small subunit ribosomal RNA
Source: RNAcentral
UACAGAGGUCCCAAGCGUUGUUCGGAUUCACUGGGCGUAAAGCGUGCGCAGGCGGUUUUGUAAGCCAGAUGUGAAAGCCCCGGGCUCAGCCUGGGAAUGGCAUUUGGGACUGCAAGGCUUGAGUGCGGCAGAGGAGACUGGAAUUCCUGGUGUAGCAGUGAAAUGCGCAGAUAUCAGGAGGAACACCGGUGGCGAAGGCGGGUCUCUGGGCCGUAACUGACGCUGAGGAGCGAAAGCGUGGGGAGCGAACAGG